GCAUCUAAGCCACCAUGGAGUUUCUUCUCUCCUGCUCAACAGGACAAGCUGGGGAGAAAAGAAGCUGACCUGAACGGCCAGAGAGCUCACCACCUGCAGUUCCAGAGGAGUCUGGAUGUGGAGAUGCGAAGCGAGGUGGUGUCAGCCAACGUCAGGUUUUUACAGAACAUCCAGGAGGCAAUGGCCCAGGCAAUGAAGGAGCACCGGUACAACCAACUUUUCUC
This is a long non-coding RNA of Branchiostoma belcheri (Belcher's lancelet), 224 nucleotides long. RefSeq lists it as uncharacterized. The record is from RefSeq and is a predicted model, not a curated record. Lineage: Eukaryota; Metazoa; Chordata; Leptocardii; Amphioxiformes; Branchiostomatidae. The transcript has 3 exons.